This 439-nucleotide ribosomal RNA is filed under the name uncultured bacterium. RNAcentral describes it as "partial 16S ribosomal RNA". It matches the Rfam family "Bacterial small subunit ribosomal RNA", at positions 338 to 795 of the family's 1533-position model. The record is from RNAcentral.
CCUACGGGAGGCAGCAGUAGGGAAUUUUGCGCAAUGGGCGAAACCCUGACGCAGCAACGCCGCGUGAACGAGACGCCCUUCGGGGUUUAAAAGUCUUUCAAUGGGGACGAAAAAUGACGGUACCCACAUAGGAAGCACCGGCUAACUCCGUGCCAGCAGCCGCGGUAAUACGGGGGGGGCAAGCGUUAUCCGGAUUUAUUGGGUUUAAAGGGUGCGCAGGCGGAAUGUCAAGUCAGAGGUAAAAUUUCGGGGCUCAACCCCGUCGUGCCGUUGAAACUGGCGUUCUUGAGUGAGCGAGAAGUAUGCGGAAUGCGUGGUGUAGCGGUGAAAUGCAUAGAUAUCACGCAGAACUCCGAUUGCGAAGGCAGCAUACUGGAGCUCAACUGACGCUCAUGCACGAAAGCGUGGGUAUCGAACAGGAUUAGAUACCCGGGUAGUC